Pelmatolapia mariae (spotted tilapia) is the source of this 488-nucleotide long non-coding RNA. RefSeq lists it as uncharacterized. The transcript has 3 exons. Lineage: Eukaryota; Metazoa; Chordata; Actinopteri; Cichliformes; Cichlidae. The record is from RefSeq and is a predicted model, not a curated record.
ACCGUCCUACUCACUUUCUGAGGAAUUGAAACUGAAGAGCUGAACAAAGGAACAAAGCCUUUUUGACUUUCUGUCCUCCUCACACAUCGUGUACUUGUUACUUGUUACUUCUCACCAUGAAACUUCUUGGAGCUCUGAUCCUGAUUUUGAUUUUGUCCACAGCAUGUGGAUUAAGAUGCUAUUCAUGUACAGCUUCUGAUCCUCACUCCUGCACACAGACCACAACAUGUUCCUACCCCUUUAACCGAUGCUACACCUUGUAUGUGAGCGGCACCGUCACUAAGGGCUGCCAAUACAGUGCCUCCUGUAUCAAGCCUUUUAGCUGCUGUGAAGGGAACUUGUGCAACAGUGCUAUACCAGCUGGUCCCAGUGUCGUGCUCCUGCUGGUGUCUUCAGCCAUAAUCACCGUCUUCCUCUGAAGCUCUGAAACAACUACAUCUUAAUGAUGUUUUACUUUGUUCUUAACCAAAAAUUAUAACAUAGGGAUA